GAUCACAGGAGGGGCACGUGAGCGAGGCCCGUCGUGCAAGAGGAAAUCGAAUCGCGGAGCGGUUCCAGAAGGCUGUGCAGAGAGGUGAGAAGUGGAAGUUCCAGAUCCUGCAGAAGAUGCGGGGGUCCCCCUUGGUGUCUGCUGUGGGCGUCAGAAGGAAAGAAGCUCAUGCUCAGGACACAAGUACCCGGAUUUUGCACCGUGUGGAUGUACCAUCGAGAGAAUGACGGGCUAACAUUGGGCUGCGACUCCACCGAACCGGAAAGUGAUGCCCGAAGAUACUGGAGAAGCACAUCAAGGAAUGAAUGGUGAGAGCGUGUAUU
This 323-nucleotide long non-coding RNA is filed under the name Sus scrofa (pig). RNAcentral describes it as "lncRNA (ENSSSCG00070025378.1)". Lineage: Eukaryota; Metazoa; Chordata; Mammalia; Artiodactyla; Suidae. The record is from RNAcentral.